UGAUGCUCAAGUGCGUGCAAGAUAAGUAUGUAGGUGGUUCUGAUUGCUAUUCAAGAAAGAAGAAAACCUUAGAUCACUCCAGCAAUGGGGUCAGCUGAGGAAGACUAUUUCCUGAAACAAAGCAUGAAGCCUGGGAUAGCUCAGUAAAUACUGCUCACCCUAAGUAAUGGAUGGAGUUGGGAAGCUGUCCGGCAGACUUUGGUAGACUCUGGAAAUUUGAAAAUCGGACAGAACAAUGAAAGCCAACGUGAGAACCCUUUCAUGGGGACUUUAAAUGCAGAUGGAGAACAUGCUGAUUUUGUUGGUCAUUAAUAGUCAUCUGAAUUUCAAAAUGACCAUUUUCAUUUUUUUCUACUGAUGUGAAACAGUUUCACUCAGUCCUCAGAGAGCAAUUAACCAGACUUUUUGUUGGUAUCCAACAACUGUGCUUGUUGUUUUGUCUUAAGAAAAGGAGGCUGGGAGAUGACUUAGCCUUUCAGGACAAUAAGAAAUUUACAGUUUAAAAAGUGACAGAAAUAGGGUUAGACAUAAGUUUUUAAAUGCCAGGACAUCACAAUGAGAACUGGCAAAAACCAUGAUAUGGAGGAAUGGGUGGCAUCUGCUCUGAAGAUCUGACAACUACUAUCUGUUUUAUCCUACAAGGAAAUGGAGGACAAUUUGAUUCUUAAAGUUCCUUCCCACUUGGUGCUUCAAAUAACACUGCCAUGACUCAUAACCAUUUGGAUAUUUAAAUUGGAAUUGUCUUUUGAGCCAAUAAAAGUUAUGGAAGAAAUCUGCCUCAUAGUCAUAACCUGAGAUUUUUUUCACCCCAACUGAAAUUUCCCAGUUUAAUUAUUCACUUUAUUCAUUAGAAUUUUUAAUUUUUUUUUUUGAGGCAGAGUUUCACUCUUGUCGCCCAGGCUGGAGUGCAGUGAUGUGAUCUCUGCUCAC
RNAcentral lists this long non-coding RNA (930 nucleotides) under Homo sapiens (human). RNAcentral describes it as "HSALNT0166934". Lineage: Eukaryota; Metazoa; Chordata; Mammalia; Primates; Hominidae. The record is from RNAcentral.